Molecule: transfer RNA, 74 nt
Filed under: Brachystegia kennedyi
Lineage: Eukaryota; Viridiplantae; Streptophyta; Magnoliopsida; Fabales; Fabaceae
Description: tRNA-Asn
Rfam family: tRNA (bases 19-74)
About the family: Transfer RNA (tRNA) molecules are approximately 80 nucleotides in length. Their secondary structure includes four short double-helical elements and three loops (D, anti-codon, and T loops). Further hydrogen bonds mediate the characteristic L-shaped molecular structure. tRNAs have two regions of fundamental functional importance: the anti-codon, which is responsible for specific mRNA codon recognition, and the 3' end, to which the tRNAs corresponding amino acid is attached (by aminoacyl-tRNA synthetases). tRNAs cope with the degeneracy of the genetic code in two manners: having more than one tRNA (with a specific anti-codon) for a particular amino acid; and 'wobble' base-pairing, i.e. permitting non-standard base-pairing at the 3rd anti-codon position.
Source: RNAcentral
GAUCUAAUUUCCCGUUGUUCCUCAAUAGCUCAGUGGUAGAGCGAUCGGCUGUUAACUGACUGGUCGUAGGUUCG